This 785-nucleotide ribosomal RNA is filed under the name Pratylenchus scribneri. Its description in RNAcentral is "eukaryotic LSU rRNA". It matches the Rfam family "Eukaryotic large subunit ribosomal RNA", at positions 344 to 964 of the family's 3401-position model. Lineage: Eukaryota; Metazoa; Nematoda; Chromadorea; Rhabditida; Pratylenchidae. The record is from RNAcentral.
ACAAGUACCGUGAGGGAAAGUUGAAAAGCACUUUGAAGAGAGAGUUAAAGAGGACGUGAAACCGAUGAGAUGGAAACGGACAGAGCUAGCGUAUCUGGCUUGCAUUCAGCUUAUGCGGUCGCUACCGAUGCGUCGCUGACCUCCAGAUUGGGGCUUUGACUAGUCGGUCGGUGGCUGUGUUGUGCAUUUGCAAGUGGAGUGCGUCGAGGCAUCUGGGAUGGCGGAAUGAACUUGGCUUUGAGGCCAGCUUGCUGGUACCCGGGCCUGGGGAUUUCUGUUCGUUCUAGGUGUUUUUGCGGUCGAACAAGGCUUUGCGAGCCUGGUUGGGUGCCGAGCUGGGUGUCGGUGGCGGUCGCAUGCGACACGUACUGUGCCAUCAGUUCGGUCCUGGCCGAGCUCACUCCAUGUUCAAUCUCGGCGUAAAAGCUGGUCAUCUUUCCGACCCGUCUCGAAACACGGACCAAGGAGUUUAUCGUGUGCGCGAGUCAUUGGGCGUUGAAAACCCAAAGGCGCAAUGAAAGUAAAUGUAUCCGCUCGGAACUGAUGUGCGACCCUGGUCACUGCGGUGGCCAGGAGCAGCAUGGCCCCAUCCUGACUGCUUGCAGUGGGGUGGAGGAAGAGCGUACGCGAUGAGACCCGAAAGAUGGUGAACUAUUCCUGAGCAGGAUAAAGCCAGAGGAAACUCUGGUGGAAGUCCGAAGCGAUUCUGACGUGCAAAUCGAUCGUCUGACUUGGGUAUAGGGGCGAAAGACUAAUCGAACCAUCUAGUAGCUGGUUCCUUCCGA